Ahaetulla prasina is the source of this 12058-nucleotide long non-coding RNA. RefSeq lists it as uncharacterized. The transcript has 3 exons. Lineage: Eukaryota; Metazoa; Chordata; Lepidosauria; Squamata; Colubridae. The record is from RefSeq and is a predicted model, not a curated record.
UAACACUACUGCUGCUAACAGCAGCAGCAGAAACAACAACAGCAGCAAAGUAUAUGAUAUUUACAUGCUAUAUUAAGCCACAGAGACGAAUAAUUCCUCAGCUGGAUAGCAGAGAAGCCAACAGAGAAAAUGAAGGUGAAAAUAUUCAUAGCAUUUCUUCCAUUCUAUCUCAGGGUUCAUUAUAAGCGCUCAUAUAAGGAAGGGUUUUCUCUGCUCAGGAGGACUAUUAGAGAACAUAUGGUGUUUGCAACCUUCAGUAUGUGAUUCUGAGUCCAAGAGCAAGAGGCAAGAGAGCAUCAUGGAAGCAAUUUCUUAACCAACCUGGCAAAUCUCGUAGUUCGGCUUUGGCAACUGAAGACUCAAAUAGGAAGGUUGCUGCUUUGGGAAAACUUGCCUAAGCCCUUUGCUGAGCACCAAAACUGUCUCCUCAAAUGCCAUUCGUUUUUAUCACAGGAUGUCUAGUCCAAUCACAUUUCAUUUGUUUGCUUUUGGCUUUGUGUGUUUCAUGUGUUUACUUUCAGUUAGGCACAUGAAUUCUCAUAUGUGACUUAAAUUUGGGUUUUUACCUUUUUCUUUCUUUUUUUUUCUUUUUUCUUUUUUUGUACUUUGCUACUUUGUACACUGAAUAGCUCCCCUAUUGUGCAUUGGGCUGUAAUGGAAAGGAAUGAUUAAACUUUUCCUUAGUACUGAAAGUAACUUAUAACCAGAGAAGAACCAUGGCUAAUUGCUUUCAACAUGAUUGUUCUGGCAUAUCCCCAGGCAGGUACUAGAGCCUUAGUAUCUUGCCAGAUCCUGCAUAUGGUAAUACUUGGCGGGAGCUCCCACACUAAGUGGUAGGGUCCACAGCCUGUCACUUUAAUUUUCCUGGACUGCCUGCAGCAAUAUUUAACAUAUUUAAAAUGGCAGCUAGUAACUGUCUGCUGAUGUCAGAUAAAUCCAUGAACAGGAAUCUAAAGUAGAACUCCUUGUCAAACAUACCUUGAAAUCUAAAGUGAACUGUGUAUAAAACAACAGCUAAGGGCAUAAAUGUCAAACUAGUAAGAGGUAGGAAGGGAAGAAAUUAGCUUCAGCCUCAACUUUCCUAUCUGUAAUAUGGGAAUAAAAAAAACAGCUCUACUUAACAAGGAAGUUGUACUGAGACAAAGUAGGGUAGUUGUUAAUAUUCAAUGAAGCACAAUGUACAGUAGAUGUUAAACGAUAUAAAUUUGAAUUAGGGCAAAUGAAGUAAGAAUAAAACAGUAGCUUUUUUUAAAAAAAAAGUUGAAAUAAUUCUUGACUGUCAGUUCAUGCCACAUAUUUAUGCUGCAAAGGCUUUGCAAAUCACUCUGCAAUGUGAAAUAAAAGGCAGUAUGAAAAGCCAAUAACUUUUUAAGGGAUAAAAUGCUUGCUUUGACUUAGAGAACUCUCCCGCUUUCCAGGGGGAACAGUAACCUCAGCCACCUUCACUAUCACUGUGGCAUUUCAGAACAUUUUCUAGGAAGAGAAAUAGAAUAAAUACUAAAACUACUCAAGUUUUUUUUUCUGCACUGCACAUUAACUACAUUACUCUCAAUACAAAUAAGCACAGCAAGGAAAUAAGGUCUAAAACAUAACCUUCUUUUGUAUGGUAAAGGUCAGUUCUCAGGGCACACAUAUUAUCUAUUUUAUUUAAACGGAUGUAAUCUGCAGGUUCUGAUGGUAUUUAUUUGCCUUCUCUUUCUCUCUCUCUUCUUUGUCACCUUCAUUGUGGCUUCAGAGAAAAAAAAACCACCUGGAAAACAGGAAAUGUCUGUUCACAUGUGAACUUUUCUAUGCUUUGCAAGAAGAAUAAAAGUCCUGAUGAUCUUGAAGGUACCUUAUUGUGCCCAGAAUGCAGAAAAUAUGUCAAGAUAUCUCUACCAUUGUAAAUUGAACCUGAUUGUUUGGUGAAGUGUUUGGCUUCUCCCUAACUUCAUUUCUUUCCCUCCUAUUUAUAUAUUUAAAAUGCUUGCUUCUUUUGUAAAACAUGAAUGGAAAAGGACAAAUUCAUAUGGCAGCACAAAACAAUUAAAAUGACAUUGCAUUAAAAUAGGAGAAGAGGAACUUACUAGAGCUGCAGAAAAUGUUAUUUGUGUUGUAUUUUAAUGUGAACGGAAUAGUACAUAUUUAUUGAGCUAAAUUUUCUGUUAUAACAUACAAAAACUAUAUGGUAAAUGAGGAUAACUCAAUGUUAUACUGAAAAAAAAUCACAUCAAUGUGUAUAUUAAGAAAAAGAUAAUCUAAGACUCCUACUCAUGGUGAUUUUUUAAUUAAACACAGAACAACAUUAAAAUGUGGGUCAAUCAACAGUCCAAAUUAUAUAUAUAAGCCAUUUUAGAUAGCUUUUAAAUAGUACUAAAUAAACUAUCGAGUUUCCGAAACACCAGAAAAGCAUUCUCAGUGGACUAAAAAUGAUUAUCACGCAUGCCAUCCUUGGGUUAUUAUUACUAUUAUAUACUGUACACAGAAUGGUAAGAUCACAGUUUUAAGUUCUUCAGGUGCUUUGAGUUCUUCCCAAGAACCUAGGAUGUAGUAAUGUAUCAGUGUAGCAUGUGUGUGGAUCCAAGCAUUCUGACUUUUUGUAGUUGACAGAUUGAAAUUUUGUCAAUGAGCACAUUUUCUUGGUACCAUCCAAGAUUUUUUGGUAUAGCACCCAGGGUGCCAAUAACCACUGGGAUCACAACACCCUGUUUACGCCACAAUCUUUCAAUUUUGAUUAUCAGAUCUUGAUAGCUUGUGGUCUUCUCCAGUUCUUUGACUUCUACUAUCUCCUGCUUUUGCACAUCAAUUAUCCACACCAGUUUUUUUUCUACCACAGUUAAAUCUGGUGUGUUGUGAGCCAAGACUUUUAUCAGUUUGUAUUUGAAAAUCCAACAAUAUUUUAACCUGCUUGUUUUUAUUACACUGUUUACACUUUAAUGACAAAUGUCAUGGUGGCACAGUGGCUAAGAUGCUGAACUUGUCGAUCAGAAGGUAAGCCAUUCAGCGGUUCGAAUCCCUAGUGCCGAGUAAUGGAGUGAGCUCCCAUUACUUGUCUCAGCUUCUGCCAACCUAGCAGUUUGAAAGCACAUAAAAAAUGCAAGUAGAAAAAUAGGGACCACUUCGGUGGGCAGGUAACAGCGUUCCGUGCGCCUUCGGCAUCGAGUCAUGCCAACCACAUGACCACAAAGACGUUUUCAGGCAGCGCUGGCUCUUCAACUUAGAAAUGGAGAUGAGCACUGUCCCUAGAGCCGGAAACGACUAGCACAUAUGUGUGGGGGAACCUUUACCUUUAUAGUCUGAAAAGUUUGAAAACGCCUUCUCUAGAAGAAAUUCUGCAAAGUGAGUUUUGCCCCAAGUCUUUAGAGUUGUGGAGAGAACAGCCACAGUAUGUAAUUCCCACGUCAUCCAUAUUUUUCCUUGCCCAUUUCUGCAGCUAGGGCACACUAAUAUCUUGCCUUAUUCUAUCCUUGUUUCCUCAGUUGUGACAAGGGACAGCUUUCCUGCUCUCACUCCUACUCCCCAUGUACUGUUUGCUUUUUCUUCUACUUCUUUACCUUUCUAUGAAGAAAAAUAAUGUCCAGAAAAGAACAAGGAAGGGGAAAGAAUAGCAACUAGCUGCCAUUUUGUGUUCUUCCAAUGUCCAGCUGUCAGAACCACUGGAUGUGUUAAAGAAGAAAGAUGAAGGCAUAUGUAUUGAGUGGGUGUUGUGAUGUUCAUGGGUGUUGUAAUGUUCUCAAUGCUCCUUGUAUCUUAGAAAGCAAAGCCAAGUGGACACAAGGGAGGUGAUUUAGGACUUGUAUGCACUAUCUAGAAGAGGAUAGCAACAUUUUUAAGUGUAGAAGCAUGAUCUCAGCUUUUGUUCACUUCCCUUUCCUGGCAAAUUCAAUAUACAGAUGCUUUUUCCUGGUGUGGCUUGAAAAAUGUGUGUUUCUGCUCAUGUUGCCUCAAGUACCCUUAUCUCUUUCAGUUACAGCACUUUACUUUCUUACAGAUUAAGCCCAACAGUUUAUUGGCUGCUUUACAGGGGAAAAUAUUCUCCUUUAGAUGAAACAACAUUAACUGAGACCUCAAAGGGCUACUUCAGUAUAGAACCCUUUGCAGAAAACCAUUAACUCAACUCAACUCUACUCUACUCUACUCUACUCUACUCUACUCUACUCUACUCUACUCUACUCUACUCUACUCUACUCUAUCCAUAGCUUGUUUCUUCCAGGAACAGACAACUGUACCUAAUCACAAUGACAUCAAAGUAAAACAAUUUAAAAAUUGUGUUGAGGCUUUAAGACAUGCUCAUUCAUUUGUGUUACAGUGUACGUCAGGAAUGAAAUUUGUUUUGUUCUCUCAGAAUUACAUUUUGUCAUGCCCUCUAUUUGCAAGAUCUAUCUUUCCAGGAAGCUUUAGGAAAAGAAAUAAUAUACUAAUGUAAGCAGUUCAGUUUUUUAAAAGUCUCUUUAGCCAAUUCAUUACCACCAAUCUGAUAAUUUUUCUACUGAUUUACUUUUUCAUAGAUCCUUAGGGGAAAACAUUGCUAUUCAAGCAAAGGUUAGAAUGAAAUAUAGUUUUGAAGUUCUGCGUGCCCCCUACUAAGCUUGAAGAACUUACUUUCUCCCGUUCAGAUAGCCUAAAGCUGACUUUCGAAAGUGUCUUUCAAAUGUAUUUGGUCAUAAAACCUUAUUGUAUUUGAUGAAGUCCUGAUACUUUACUCAUGGAGAACACAUUUCAUUAGUUUAUUAUACUACUGCAGUGUGUAUUUUUCUCUUCAACAUGUAGAUUUCUUCAAGGAAGUUUAGGCAAAAUGUGGUCCAUGAGCUACAUCCAGAAUGACUAUCACAUGAUACGUUGGCCUGGAGUUGCAGCUCUGGGUGUGAGAAAGAAGUUUAAAAUGUUGGAUGAAAGUGCCAAUUGGGAAAAAAACACACAUCAUCUAUUGUUAUUGUUUCAUUACUAUGUGUGUUGUUGCCAUGUAUCCACUCCCCUCCUUUUAAGGCCAACUUCCAGCAUUUUAUGGGCCUUGAGUAAUAAGCCUUUAACAAUGCCAAUCUUUGUUGCCAAUGUGGUUCAAAAUCUGGAAUGGCAUCAGAGACUAAUAGUAUGCUGGUAAUUUAUUUUGCUAUAGCAUCGGGCUUUGUGAGUUAUAUUGAAGUCCACAUCAUCCUGACAAAAGAAUCUGUAGCAGAACUCAAGCAUAUGGAUGCCUUUGGGCCCCAUAGCAGUGCCAGGGCCCUGGGGCAUCUGCGCAAAUUGCUUUGGUGAAGUUGCCAGCCCUGCCUUCUAUGUUGCAAUAUAUAUUGCAGAUUCCUUUAAUUUAUUUGGAAUGAAUAACAAGGAAAGGGAGACAGGGUAAUGUUUAUUGAUAAAGACUUCCUCUCCCAGAGGAAAUGUCAUGAGUUUCUUCUCAGUUUCAUAGGAAGAAAAUGUUAGUUAUUAUAUCUGGGAACAAUGAAAGGGAUAGUUGUUUAUAACAAUUAGAAUAAUUUUUUUAAAAAAGAAAAUUCACUUUCACAAUAUGAAAUUCAAAAAGAAAAUGACAAACCCCUCCCACCCCCCCCACCCCCCAAAAAAAUGACCUCAGGCUGAAGAAUUAAUCAACCUCAGCUCUUAGCUGGUACUUGAUAUUUCUUUAACAGUCUUAAUCAAUUGUUCCUCAUCACAUUGGAAAGAAGUAUCAAUUGGAAUAUCAUAUAAUCCAUCCUGGAACUUGUACUCUUUAACAUAUUUAUUCGUGACUUGAUGAAGAGGUGGAAGAAAUUCUAUUAAAUUUUCAGAUAAUGCAAAAGUGGGUCAUUAAAAUUAAGAAAUCAAUUAAAGUUAAUUGAUAAAUUUAAAAAAAUGAAAUUUCAAACCGUUUUGUUUUGGUAAGAAAACAACAGAAUGGAAUUUAAGAAAGGCAAAUGAAGUUUAACAAAUGCAGAUUUCUUCACAUAAGAAGCAAAAGUCAAGUGCACAAGUUAUGUGGGAGCAAUUACUACUUGAGUUGGUAAUAAUAUUUUGGAAAAAUAUCUUUGAAUACUAGCUGAAUAUGAAUAUGAAUUAACUCGGGAUAUGGUAGUCAGAAAGACAAAUGAAAUUUCAGAUUCAGACAAAGUAGAAUAGAUUCAAAGAAGAGCAAACAGGAUAAUUAGGCUACUACUGGUAGAAACUAUGUCACAGAAAGAGAGAUUGAAGAGUCUGCACAUAAUAGCCUUGUGACAGAAGGAGUAACAUGGCCGGCAUUCUACAAAGGUUUCCACCAAGAAGAUCUGAUUGUUCUUCAUUGCUCUUGAGUAGGUGAUACAAAUCAAUGGAUUUAAAUUCCAGGAAAGCAGAUUUCAAUGGAGGAGGAGGAGGAGAAGGAGGAGGAGGAGGAGGAAGAGGAGGAGGAGGAGGAGACUUUUCCAACAAUAAGAGCUCUCUGACAAUGGAACCAAUUACCAAGAGAGGUGAUAGGAUCCUCUCCCUGGGAUUUGUUAAAGCUGAGGCUAGACAGCCAUCUGUUGGAGAUGUUUUAAUCUGGUUUUCUCGGUGAGUAAGAAGUUGUUCUCUGAAGCCUAUAUAUUAUGAAUCCAUUUAUAUUUGCUACCAAAAUACCUAAUAUUUUGAAAAUCCACUUCAAUUGUUUGCAAUUACAUUUUCAAACUACCAGUUACCACAUUCGUACUAUCUAGAUUAUAUACUUUUCCUUUACCAUGUGUAUGCUCUUUAAAUUAUUUUUAUUCAGGUAAAUUAACAAAAUAUUGGGGUCAAGUUGAUUUUAAAAAGAAAAGAGAAAGAAAAUUCAGGUCUGAUUUCCCUAGAUUAUCAGGUUUCUAGAUCUUGUAAAGCUCUGACCCUUUUAUUCUGUGUCCUAGACUGGGUAGUUUUCUAUUUUAUUUUAUGUUUUAUUUUAAGAUUUUAUAAAUGGUAUGAUCUUUUUCCAAGAAUGUGGUCCUUACACAUAUGUGAACCAUAUUUCCCUAGCAAUAAUUAGACACUUACGGUGUCAAAUGAUGGUCAAGGCAUGAAAUGUUACUCGCAUAUUGAAUACCUGAGAGUGUUUCCUUCCAGGGAGAAAUUAACUUAAUAUAUUGUUUUCCUCUCAGUGAAAUUAGCUCCUUGUUCUGUGUAUUUAAUAAUGAGAAAAAGCCAUGUACUAAUUAGAAGCAGAUUUUUAUGGCUACCUGUUUCAUUGAAGAAAUGUCUGCUUGAAACAAUGACUGCUUCCUGGGCAAGAGUUUCACAAGAGGAAACUAACUUUCAGAACUGCUGUGAUAAUUUUUAAGAGACUCUAUCAGCAUUUUUUCUGGCUUUGGCCUCUUUUACUGCUUCUAUGGUCUUAAAUGCCUGAAAUAUUUGCCACAGUACUUCUGUGGAGUUGUAGCCUCAUAAGAUAUGAAGGAUGAAUUUAAGAUAAUAUUUUUCAGGCCUGUUUUGACUAUGGUCCAACUGUCCAUAGAUUGUAGUUCUACUGUCCAUAGAUUUCUGCCUCUUGUUAGAUCAUCAAAUAACUGAAGAUUGAUUUAUACUACUAUAAUAUAUGAUAAUAUACUUUAUUGAUUACUCAGUUGACCAAUGACCAUAUCAAAUUAUGGGCAUCAGCCACAGCAAGUUACAAUAAAAUAAGAUAGGGCAUAAUAUAUUAGUAUGUGAUAAAUUCAGAAGUGGGUUUCAGCUGGUUCUGACCAGUUCUGGAGAACCAGUAGCGGAAAUUUUGAGUAGUUCAGAGAACCGGUGGUAAAAAUUCUGACUGGCCCCACCCCCAUCUAUUUUCUGCCUCCCCAGUCCCAGAUCCAGCUGAUCAGGAAGAAAUGGAGAUUUUGCAGUAUCUUUCCCCUGGAUUGGGGAGGGAAUGGAGAUUUUACAGUAUCCUUACCUUGCCACACCUACCAAGCCACACCCACCAAGCCAUGUCAUGCCCACCAAGCCACACUCACAGAACCGGUAGUAAAAAAGUUUGAAACCCACCACUGGAUAAAAUAGACUAUGGCAAGAUAAACUAAACUAAAAUAUAAUAGAUUAAAUAAAGAUAAAAGAGUAUAAGGUAAAAUGUAAUGCAAAAAUAUAUAAUAGAACAAAAAUUACAAUUCAAAAACAGUAUGUGUUUAAAUGAAUUCAUCAUCUUUCCAUACAGUCUCAAUGUGUUCAAUUAAACAUGUUCCAUACUGGACAGCCCUGACCAUAAACUUAACAGUUCUAGUGACUCCAUAUGUAUUUGUGCUUAUACAAUAUAAGAUAUUUUUUGUUAGAGUCCCAAUAUAUGAAUCUGUCAAGUAGUAUCUGUAAGUAUUGAGCCUUUGCUAAGGCACAUAGUUGGCAAUUGAACAGGACCUGUGUAUUGUGUUCUAUUUCUGUUGCUCCACAAACAUACUUAUUCUCUCAAGUUAUGACACUUGAUGGAAUCAUCCAAAUGUAAUUGUAGAAUUAGCUGCUCAAAUCUAUCACUGUGGUAAUGAGUCAAACCUGUUGUCAAAUGUUUUUCUGUUUGGAAGGUCAUUUUAUUUUUGGCCAGCCAUUUCAACAAUUUAAGCAAUAACAUGGAAAACUCUUAGUUUGAACAUUGGCUUAGCCUGACAGCCAACUGAGGAUAGGUAUUUUAUUGAGAGGCCAUGAUGUCAGAUGAUUUGGAAAAGUUGAUUGAUCCGUGUGGUAGGUUAAAAUGUGCCCAUCAGGUAAGGUUUGACUGUAAGGUUCCAUUGAGAAUGUCCUCCAUUAGUAAUUAAAUACUUUGAUUAUUUUAGACUAUACACGGACUGGAUUCCUGUUUCAGCUCUUACUGCUUUUGCAAGUAUGCUCCUAUCAGUCCCUAGAACAGUUCUUAAAAAGUACAUUUGAUUCUGUUCAAAUAAGGAGGUCUUUGACAGAACCCACAGAUCAGGGGCGGGUUUCAAAACCUGUUGCUACUGGUUCACUUGUGGGUGUGCACGCAUAUGGGUGGAGCCUGCCGCCACCACUAGCAGUUCGCCCAAUUCGGGGCAAACCGGUAGCAACCCACCAUUGCCACAGCUCUAUGCCAUAUGUUAACAUCGGUGCAUUUUUUGCCUUGAGCUUUAAGAUGGGGAAGUAGAGUGAUUGAGUGGUUAUCUGAGAGAAUUCAUCUAGUGAACUGCCCUGGCAGAGACUAGAUGUGAACUAAGGACUCUUCUUAUUUGGAAUGCAACGUUUGUCUUAUUCCAAGUCUCCUUAAGAUAUAUUUAUUUCUUAAUUAACUCAGUGUCCUCUUUCAGCUCAGAAAAGACUACCAAAUAAUUCACAAUUAAAACUUCACAAAAAUCUAUAAACUUUUAAGAACCUAAUCUCUUUAAUCUUAUAAUUAGCUUUAAAGCUUUAUAAUUCUUAAACUUGAAAACACUAAACAAUGGACCUGCUCACAGUAAUGCCAUCGACUGCAUUGCUCCAGAAGCAUAAUGUUUUGUUGCUUGAUGACACCAUCUUUAUUAGAAAAGCAGAUUAUGUAAGAUUACAUGGCUAAAAUGCCUUCUGACUCCUAGGCCAUUGUCUGAGGAAAGAAUGAGUCCCCAAACAACUGACCCUCUGUAUUUUAAAAGAGCUGUAAUAGUUCUAGAGAUUAUGAAAAAAACUACACAGAUAAAGGGAAUUUUAUUAGACGUGCUUCUCUUGGCAAAAGGGUAUCAACUUUCAACUUCUCUGAGCAUUUUUUUUUCCAGAAAGGAAAGGUCUCCCUAAAGUUUGAAACUUAGCAUAUCCCUAGGAAACAAAACAGUGAUCAAUAACAGCUAUUGUCUGAUACUUCCUCCUUAACAAUCAUAAUUUCUGGGCCUCCAGAUGUUGGUUUAACAUUAUUUCACCAGUUUCCCUGGAUUAGGUGACCAGGGGUGUUUUUCUUUCCAAAUUAUCUAAACUCAUAAUAGAAAAUGUUUAAUUAAUGCACUGAGAUAGAAAAACAUAUGGAUAAAAGAAAAGAAGCAUCUAACAUCCCAAAUGGGCAGCAUUUACUUGCUCUUUCAGAGUUAACUGGCAAUAUGUGGCUAGCUCUGUUCAGAAUAAAUGGGCAAUGUAAAAUAUACAUGAUCAGUUAGUUUCUCUCGGCAGCAAUUUCUUUGAUGUUUGCCAGAGUGCCUAUUUAUAAAAUUUGUGUUCACAAGCAGGAUUGCUUGUGAACCUUUAUUUCCCCCCAGCUUCUCAAGUAUUGCAUUUCCUUGUUGGAUUUUCUUUAAAAUAAGGCAGUGGGGAGGGGGGAAUGCAGGAAGAAAACUUCAGCCCAAGGCACCAAGUACAAACUUCUUCUCUUUUUGUUGCAGGUUGAUGAUAAACCUACAGAUGCUUUUUGCGGGUGGAAGAACCACAAGAACUUAAUUAUAAGGAUUCUGGAAGUUGUAUACCCAAGACGUCUGGAAGGCACCUUUUGAAAAAGCCUCUUGUAGAUUGUUUCUGAAGAAGAAUUUCAUGGAGAAAUGGAAAAUUCCAUUACGUUCUUUCCUAGAAAUAUCCAGAAUAUAGAAUGAAAAGAUCAAUGUUUAUCUUUUUUUAAUUAAGUAAUAAUCUGUUUUUUUAAUCUGUACCACUACUUUUCUUAAAUAUGUUUUUUCUAGAUAGCUUUUCUUUCAAAACUAUGUAUUUUGAAAAUGAUUUAAUGAUUUUUUUUUAAAAAAAUGCUACAGUAUAACUCUCAGGAAAUGUAAAAGUUUGUGAGUAAAGUCAAACUAAAGUGUUAAUUCAGGAAACACUGGUUACAACAGUUUGUAGAGAUUCUCAGUCACCAGGUCAUGGCUGUCCCUAAGGUGCUUUUUCAGAAGGCAACUGGACUUUCUUGUUGUUGUUGUUUUCUUUGAAGAUGUUUCGCUUCUCAUCCAAGAAGCUUCUUCAGCUCUGACAGGACAGUGGGGAAUGGAAGGAUUUAUAUUCCUUGCAGACAGCUGGUAAUCUACAUCCUUUUAGAGGGUCAUUGAAGCACUUGGAGGUUUAUCUUUGUCCUCAGAGUCACCUGAGUAGUGGUCCUGGUUCCUGUAUUGUGCAGUUUUUCUUCUGGAAAUCCAUUCCUACUCCCACACCAUUCAAAAGGUGUUCAUCCCAAUUAAAACAGUGAACAUUGAAGUUCACAAACAUUGUGUUGUUCAAGCAUUCCUUCAGCUAAAAAAUGAUGAUGAAGAUGAAGAAUGAUUGUUAAUUUAUUUGAUUUAUAUGGUUGUCAAUCUUACCUAGGUGACUUUGGGUGGCUCACAAAAGAUAAAACAACCCAGUAAAACAAGUUAAAAAACCAUAUAUAUAUAUAUAUAAACUGUUACAAUAGAAAAGAUAAAAUUUUGUGAUAUAAAAAUCACAGUCAGCGACAGAAUUAAUUCUACAUCAGCUCAAUAGAGCCAUUUUAAGAGCUCCCCACCAUUGCCAGACUCCCAGUACCACAGCAGAGCCACAAGUUCUGAUAACAACAGCAGCAGCAGCAACAACAACAACAACGCUGCUACAUGAGUAUCCUUCUGUUCAUGUAAUGGAACUUCUCUGUAGUUUUCUUCCUCUCCAUGUCUCUAUGGUAACUUUUCAUAUUCAGCUGAUGGCUAAACAAUUAACUAAAUAAUCAUUGUUUCUUUUCACUAUAUUAUUUUUUUCUCUUUGCUUGCUUUGGCUUUGGCUCCUCCUAUGGGCCUUUCUACACCACUCAGUUCAUAACUGAAGAAGCAUUUUGGAUGUGAAGCAAAAUGCCUUCAAGGAAAAGCCAAGAAAGUCCAGUUGCUUUUUUGAAGAAGCACCUUUGGGAUAACCAUGACUUGUAUGACUGAAAAUCUCCAUAGAUAUUCAAUUCAAGUGUUAUUCUCUCAUCCUUGAAUCAGAAGGACCCGAAGGACUAUGUGCAUACUUCUUAAAAAAACUUUCCAUUAAUAUAGCAGAACCCCUAAGUAUUAUCUUUGAUAAAGCUUUCACUACCAGUUCUCUUCCCAAACUUUGGUCACUAGCCACAGUCAUCCCUAUCUUCAAAAAAGGAGACCCCAGCUUAGUCGAAAACUACAGACCGAUCUCCCUUUGCUGCGUCACCUGCAAAGUCAUGGAAUCUAUCAUCAACCAAUCCAUUACCUCACACUUAGAAACUAACAACCUACUCUCCAACAAACAAUUUGGUUUCAGGAAAAAAUUAUCAUGUAACUUACAACUUCUCCACUGCAAAAACAUA